Molecule: ribosomal RNA, 475 nt
Filed under: Escherichia coli
Lineage: Bacteria; Pseudomonadati; Pseudomonadota; Gammaproteobacteria; Enterobacterales; Enterobacteriaceae
Also listed under: 4 other names
Description: partial 23S ribosomal RNA
Rfam family: Bacterial large subunit ribosomal RNA
Source: RNAcentral
UGGUGGGUAGUUUGACUGGGGCGGUCUCCUCCUAAAGAGUAACGGAGGAGCACGAAGGUUGGCUAAUCCUGGUCGGACAUCAGGAGGUUAGUGCAAUGGCAUAAGCCAGCUUGACUGCGAGCGUGACGGCGCGAGCAGGUGCGAAAGCAGGUCAUAGUGAUCCGGUGGUUCUGAAUGGAAGGGCCAUCGCUCAACGGAUAAAAGGUACUCCGGGGAUAACAGGCUGAUACCGCCCAAGAGUUCAUAUCGACGGCGGUGUUUGGCACCUCGAUGUCGGCUCAUCACAUCCUGGGGCUGAAGUAGGUCCCAAGGGUAUGGCUGUUCGCCAUUUAAAGUGGUACGCGAGCUGGGUUUAGAACGUCGUGAGACAGUUCGGUCCCUAUCUGCCGUGGGCGCUGGAGAACUGAGGGGGGCUGCUCCUAGUACGAGAGGACCGGAGUGGACGCAUCACUGGUGUUCGGGUUGUCAUGCCAAU